This 497-nucleotide ribosomal RNA is filed under the name uncultured bacterium. Its description in RNAcentral is "partial 16S ribosomal RNA". It matches the Rfam family "Bacterial small subunit ribosomal RNA", at positions 28 to 507 of the family's 1533-position model. The record is from RNAcentral.
GAUGAACGCUGGCGGCGUGCCUAAUACAUGCAAGUCGAGCGAACGGACGAGAAGCUUGCUUCUCUGAUGUUAGCGGCGGACGGGUGAGUAACACGUGGAUAACCUACCUAUAAGACUGGGAUAACUUCGGGAAACCGGAGCUAAUACCGGAUGAUAUUUUGAACCGCAUGGUUCAAAAGUGAAAGACGGUCUUGCUGUCACUUAUAGAUGGAUCCGCGCUGCAUUAGCUAGUUGGUAAGGUAACGGCUUACCAAGGCAACGAUGCAUAGCCGACCUGAGAGGGUGAUCGGCCACACUGGAACUGAGACACGGUCCAGACUCCUACGGGAGGCAGCAGUAGGGAAUCUUCCGCACUGGGCGCAAGCCUGACGGAGCAACGCCGCGUGAGUGAUGAAGGUCUUCGGAUCGUAAAACUCUGUUAUUAGGGAAGAACAUAUGUGUAAGUAACUGUGCACAUCUUGACGGUACCUAAUCAGAAAGCCACGGCUAACUACGUG